GUCGUAGAGUGUUAGUGAGAUUUCAACUGGUGGGUGACCUUAGAUUAUGUGCACAGAUGAUUGAUGAGAAAGCACUAGAGCGUAAUAUUAACCAUUGAGUCGUACAGACUACAUUAGGUGGUUCCGACUUAUGUGCAGAAGGCCGGACAGGUCACAGAGGUGACUCCGGCAGAGUGAGAGUGAUAGAUUUUGAGCUCUAGGUUCAACCGUACAGGGCUAUUAGAGGGCCUCCGGUUGAUUACUUUCUUGCACCUGAUAUGAUUAUUGUUGAUGCAUCCAUACUUAACUGUUGAAUUAGACAUGGCAUGGCAUGAUUGAUAAAGAAAAAUGUUAAGAUAGUAAAAAUGAAGUUUUGAGAAUAUAUAUGUAUAUUAUAUUUUACAUUUCUGGGAAAGUAUACAAGUUUUACGGAGAGGGGUUACAACGUUUUGAGAAAUGUUUGGAUUUGGAAAAGAAUUGUUUUACUGACCCACUCAAUUUUGGUUUUGCGCCCCUCCAGGUUAAAGAAUAGCUGAGGUGUGGUGGCUACGAGGAAUUCAGCGGGGUUCUGACAGAAUGGAUCAAAUUAGGACUCACCUUCGGGUGUAUCAACUUAUAAAUUGUAUCUUAAAGCUUCCGUACAAUGCAAAUGGUUACGUCACUCUCACGUGACGGCCAGCAUGCCCUCCUUCGGGACAGGAUGUGUCAGUUGGUAUCAAAGCAUGGUUGCAAUCUUGGACAUCUUGAGAAGUUUCUAGUGAAUUAUGUCAGAACUACACCGCCUCAUAGCAAACCACGUAGUUAGAGGAACUUAGUCUCCCUGAUUUAGCGGUUUAGAGGAAACUAUUAUUAUGGUGAUUCAGUAUAUUAUCAAAAUGGAUAUUUUAAGACGGGUUAUGAGUCGAAUUUGAAUCACCUUAUGAAAUGAUGAACCUGAGGGAGCGAAGUAACGGUUUAACCAUUUGGAAAAGAUGUUUCAGAUUAUGCAAGUCAAAUGAAUCUUCCUUCUGACAGGGGGUCGAGACGACUACCUGGUUUUGGGUAUGAAUUUGUAUCCUGGUGGAAACAGGAUUGUUAAUUGUUGUCACCAGAGGAAUCAGCCGAUUUAAAAUUGUUUAAGGACUUGUUUAAGGAAAAGUUUAUCCCUCCGGCAUUUAUCGAUGGUAGUAAGCAAGAGUUUGCAAAUGUGAAUCAAGGAAGUUGACGAUAAAUGAAUAUUAUAGAAAGUUUUCAGACUUGCCUCGUUCCAUCCAGAUAUUGUUGUUAAUUUGAUGGAGGUGUUAUGUUGUUUUAAGCUAGGUGACAAAAAGAGAAGUGGUAUUUUGGGUGACCACUAUCCAUUAUACUUCUUACCAGGAAUAUACGAGAUGCUGUUGAGUCUUGAGGACUCUGAGAACAUGAGCAACGAGAAUAAAGAAGAAUAAGAAAUGAAUGGGAAUUAAAAGAAGACGAUAAAGUUAAUGAUUCGUCAUAUCAAGGAUAUAGAAAGAUUCAGAGCUUCGAAAGAAGUGAAGCUAGAGUUAAUUCUUCCAGCUGAGGUUUUAAUGUCGCUGGUCAGAGUAAAAGUGAUGGAUAUACUGGUAAUCCCAGAUAUUUGAGACAAGGUGUCUCGAGUAAAGGAAAUGUACCUUGUGCAGCAGGUACAAAAUUAACACUUUAGGAAGUGUGAAAUUAAUGAAUGUGUUUAUGUGAACAGAGGGGACACAGAAUUGUGAAUCGUCCCUAGAAUCAGUUGUACUCAACAAUUUUCCAUGAUAUCAUAGUGUCGAUUCAGCAGAGUUAUGGACUUAGUAGUUUGGUCGGAUUGACCGUGAGUACAGAGAGAUUUGAUGAGUUAUAUGUUCAGCCAUACAGACCAUGAGAAGUGGAUUCGACUGACACAUGAGAAAUUGGUAAGUUAUAGGCUCGGCCGUACCGACCACGCGGAGUGGAUCCGGCCGACGUAUUAUUGAGAUAAGAGUUGAAUCAGCCGUAUUGGUCAUUCUAGUUGACUUCGGCUGAUAUAUUUCUUAUUAUGUAUGUUAUUACCUAGAGAGUAGUAAAUAAAUGUAGUUGAGACGAGUGUAUGUAUUUUGCAUUGAGUGACAAAAUAGUAAUGUUAUAUCUUUGAGAGUGGUUGCCUACUUAUCGAGACAACGAUGAUUUAUCAGUAUUGCGGGCUGCAGACCGUAAUAUUAAUAACUUAUUCGUGGAUUCGUUAAGUAAGUAAACCGGUAGAUUAUUUUAUGUUAGUAUUGUACUUAUUCAGAAUGCUUAGUAGUAAUAGAGUAUGUAUUGUGUCGGUUAAAUUAUUUCCAUUAGAUUGGUUGGUUAUAAUUGUGACUAGAUGGAUUGUUACGGGAAACCAGUCACUUUCCAUCGAUCUGGAUGAUCAGAGGUUACCUUAAUGAGUGGGCAUGCAAAGUGAAGUGAGUUCAGCCAUUAUUUAUGCUGUGAAAGCAAAGAGAUUGUUUUGAAAGGCUGCCCAAAAAUACUUAGUUCCUGUGGUUCUAAAGGAUAUUGCUCGGAGAAGUGUGAAAAAUGAAAAAGGGGUUAGACUUUCUUGAUGUCUUCCUUGAAAGUAUACCUGGAUUGCCUUCAGGCAGAGAUAUGAGGUUAACUAUUGAUUUGUUGCCAGGUAUAAAUUUAUGUUAAAGAUUGGUUCAUGAUGAGUUAAGGGAAUUGGAAAUUCAGUUGAAAGAAUUGGUUGAUAAAAGUUUCAUUCAACCUAGUACAACACUUUUGAGGAGCACCAGUUUGUUGGUGAGAAAGAAAAUGGACUUAGAGAUUGUUCAUUGAUUAUAGACAAUGGAAUUGGUAACGAUCGAGAACCGUUAUCCAUGAUAGUGUACUGAUGUUUAGUUGAUAAGCUCAGAGAUGUUUGUGUAAUUUCAAAGAUUGAUUGAGGUCUGGUUAUUACCAAUUGAAGAUUUUGAGCGACAUUGAUUAUAAGAUGGUUUUCUGGAUUUGUUAUGAUCUUUUAUGAGCUUUGGUGAUGCUAUAAGAAAACUCACGUUGUUUUAGGAGUUUAUGGAUGAAGUAUUCCACGAAUGUCGUGAUAAAUUGUUAUCAUUUGUCAUUGACGAUAUUCUGGUACAUUCUGAGCUAGAGCAGAGCAUGUAAACGUAUUAAGUCGAUGAAGCAAAGAUUGAGAACGUUGGUUGUAUGCUAAGUUUAGCAAAGGCUAAAGUUAAAUGAAUCAAGUGGCAUUCUAAGAUUUGUUAUAUCUGCUUAAGGUAUUCAAGUGAAUCCUUAAAAGAUAGCAGAAAUUGAGAAUUUGGAACAACCACGAGUCGUAAUUGAGAUUUGGAAAUUCUUAACUUAUCAGGCUAUUUUGGAUGGUUGUGAAAGAAUUUUUAGUCAUUGCUUUGUCAUUGACGAGACUGUUGAUAAAGGAGGUUAUGUAUGAGUGGGAAGGAAAUUGUGAGCAAAGGAUUCAACAACUGAAGUAUUUCCUCACUCAUGCACAUAUUUAGUAAUCCCAGAGAAUAGUGGUAAUCAUAAAUUUUUAGUGAUGUUUCUUGAAUGGUAUUGGAUGCAUGUUGAUGCAAAUGUUAGGGUGAUUGCAUAUGUUUCAUGACAAAUGGAACCUCAUAAGAUGAAUUACCCUACUGGUGAUUUGGAAGUCACGAUUACCACCCUUGCUGUGAAGUUAUGGAGACAUUAUAUGUUGAUAAGAAUGCAAGAUUUUACAAAUCAAAAGAGUCUCCAAUAUUUGUUUACUCGGAAGGAUUUUGAUAUGAGGCAACAAAGGUGGAUUGAAUUACUUAGUGAUUAUGAUUGUACGAUCAGGGUGAUCGUGAAUUGUUGUAGCUGAAGCACUUGAUAAGAAGACUAAAGUAAGAUUAAUGUCUGGCACAUUUACCAAGAGUAUCAUCUUGUGGAUUGAAAACCAACGGAAGAAAAAUUAAGAAUGGAAGAUCGAGAAGAAGUUAUACUUGUUAAAUUUCAAGUUAGGCCUGUUUGGUAAGGUCGUACUCGAAACUUAAAUGUUUGACGAGGAAAUUUAAGAAUUAACUAAGUCAAGGAAAGAAAGGAAAAAGAAUGAGUACAUGAUUCGUGAAUCAAAUGGUAUGUGGAUACAAGCAAACGAAAAAGUAUGUGCCUAAUGCUGUGGGUUUAAAGCAAGCAAUUUUGGACGAAGUACACUGUUCAACUUCUGCAAUAUUCUGAAAGUAAUAAGAUUUAUCAUACCACUCGACAGUUUUAUUUGAUCAGCAGAUUGAGGCAGAAAGAGAUAAACCUUUGGAUUGAGACAGCUAUUUUCUGUUUCGAAACAGAAAUGGAAAGAUAUUACUUUGGACUAUGUGUACAAGUUUCCUUGUAUACAAGAUGGUUACGAUCGAAUGUGAAGUGAUGGUUGGGCAACGUAACAAGUUAGUAUAUUUACUCCAGUGUUGAGUAAUAACUUUUUCCCAAACAGGACAACGGUACUUAUUUGUUUUAUGGAAAGAGAAUUGGAUUACGGAACCACUGAGUUUCUUAAGUAUGUUGAGUGCGCAGUUUCUGAAAUAACGCCAUAGGGUCCCUGAAGCGUGUCGUGUGAAUGAAAUGCUUCUGAAUAGAGAAAGAUUCGAUCAAGAAAGAGUUUUAGUAGACCCUGAGACUAUGGAUGAGUCUCCUCAAAGUAUUCAGGUGAUUAAGUUAACCUGAAGUAACCAGGAAUGGCAAAAGAGAUCAACAGAUGGAUAUGCCACUAAUCGAGUAUAUAAGGUAAAUGGUUUUAUAUUUUCGAAGUGUUCACCAUAGAAAAGUAUAAUUCGGGUUGGAAAGGAAGGCAAGUUAAAUCCUAAAUGAAUCGGACUUAGCGUGAUCAUCGAAAGGUUGGUGAAGUUGAUUAUAGAAUUGAAUGGCUUCCAGAGUUGUCGUAAGUGCAUGAUGUGUUUCAUGAUUCGAUAUUUUGGAAAUUUCACCACGAACAGAAAUGGUGAGAUUUGGAAAGAAGACAAAAUAAGUUUAUAUACAUCAGACCGUUUUGAUCACUAAAGGAAUCGAUAAAGUUGCAUACAAGCUUGUGAUGCCUUUAGAAUUGGCUAAGAGACAUAAUGUAUUUUGUGUUCGAUGCGUUGUCACUAGGUGGCAGAGUCGUCUCAUGGAAUUCUGGUGCAACUAUUGAGAAUUAAGCUGGAUCUAAUUAGUGAGGAGCUAUGGACGACUUUGGAUUGGAAAAAGAAGGUCCUGAGAAUUAAGACAGAGUAAGUGGUAAAAGUAUUGUGGAGGAACCAUUCAGCGGAAGAAGCUACUUGGGAGACGGAAGAACGGAUGAGAGAUAUGUAUCCGACGCUAUUUUAUGAGUUUUGAUGGGUUGGUUGGUGGCUGGAAUUUCGGGGACGAAAUUCUAUAAGGAGGGAAGAUUGUCACAGCCCGUUCCAAAAUAUUACAUUCGUGGCUGUGAAUGGACGAAAUUGCCCUUAAGAAAUACUAAGUAUGUGAAGCUCAAGUUGAUAAUUAUCUAGGUUCCUAAGUUUUGAAAAUAAAAUGGAAUUUAAUAAGGAUGGAACUUAGAUUUUUAGGUUAAAAAUUUGUGGUUUGGAGUUGGGGAUUGAAAAAGGACCACGUGGGAUCCCCACACCCCUCAAUCCUCUCCCUAUUUUCUGCAUGCUGUCUCUCUCUCUCUUCCCUCACGACUCUCUCACUCUCUCUGUCACUCUUCUUCUCCGUUCGAACAAACCAACCACAAAACAACCUUAAAUUUCCACCAACGACGGAGUUAAGACCACCAUCAAACUUCUGAAGACUUCACGAUCACGAUGGUAUCCAUUUCAGGUAAGUUUUGCUUCGGAAAACCCUAGUUUCAAAGUUCCCGUGAAGAGCACUGUUCAUGAUCUUCGAAUUGACUUUGUUUUAGGUGAAACCAAGCUCACAGUGACCUUAAGGAGGUCACGAGGAGGCUCGGAGUGCCUCGUUUGAACAAAAUGGAUGUCGGGAUCACUUGGUUCGAGUUUGGCCGGAUUUUGGAAUUUUUGGAAAGGUAUGAUCCCGUUUUUUUUAGGCCUUAAAACUAGUCCAACGCGAUAGUAGAUGUUUAGGGCUUCAAUUUGGUAUAAAUUACGUGAAAAAUGGAUGAAAAACGAAGGAGAAUAGCAAGUUUGAAAUUUUUCCAGAAACCGGCGACUCGCCGGAAAAGACAGGGAAUAUUCCGUCAGUUUUGACGGAAUAUGCUAACGGCGUUGACUGACGCCGUUAAUUAUUUAACGGAAUAUGCUAGGAUUUAACGGAAUAUUCCCUAACUGCCGUUACUGUGCCGUCAGUGUGCACGGCAUGUGGCCGCGCGUGGGGGCGCGUAGGUCCGUGCCACGUCAGGCGCGUAGGGGCGCGUGAGACCUCCAAAAAUUAUUUUAAAAAUAUAGGGAUGAUCCUGAGGUUGUGUAGGUCACAGUGGUAUAUUCAUAUACCCAAUUUGAGCAAUAUAUGAGGAGUUAUUAGCUAAGAGUGGGAUUAUACGUUAAAUAACGUCAAUUUGGUUACUUCUCGUAUAGGCGAGGAUUAUACGGACGUUGGGCAUGGCUAAGGGAGGCUCAGGGACCUUCGACACGUCGAUGUAUUCUGUGAGUGGGCAGUUUUGUUUUCCGUAUACAUAUAUACUUGCCGUUUUCCCAGAAAUUGAAAAUGCAUGAAAUUAUGCUUUAAAUGAAAAUGUAUAAAAGUAUAUGAGAUAUAUUAGUUGAAAUGCCAUGCAUAGAAGUAUGCGAAAAGUAUAUAGAAUUAUAUGAAAAACGUGAAUCGAAUUGCCAUGCAUGAAAUGAUAUGAAUUGAUAUAUGAUGCAUAUGUAUGAAUUGGUGCGGCGGACGCACAGGUGAGUAUCAGGUGAGUAUUUAAAUACUGUUAUGAUGAUGUUGAUAUAUAUUGAGCUCAAAUCCUGCACCAUGGUUUAGUGCUUAUAGUAUUCACCGCAUCGCACGCUCGCCUUGGAUCCAAGUAGAUGCUGGUCGCACAGUCCACGCGGAGUGGGUGCGACGGGCCAGUCGUAGAGUGUUAGUGAGAUUUCGACUGGUGGGUGACCUUAGAUUAUGUGCACAGAUGAUUGAUGAGAAAGCACUAGAGCAUAAUAUUAACCAUUGAGUCGUACAGACUACAUUAGGUGGUUCCGACUUAUGUGCAGAAGGUCGGACAGGUCACAGAGGUGACUCCGGCAGAGUGAGAGUGAUAGAUUUUGAGCUCUAGGUU
RNAcentral lists this long non-coding RNA (7126 nucleotides) under Malus domestica (apple). RNAcentral's name for it is "long non-coding RNA (MDOM_LNC017639)". Lineage: Eukaryota; Viridiplantae; Streptophyta; Magnoliopsida; Rosales; Rosaceae. The record is from RNAcentral.